Long non-coding RNA from Meriones unguiculatus (Mongolian gerbil), 1563 nucleotides. RefSeq lists it as uncharacterized. Lineage: Eukaryota; Metazoa; Chordata; Mammalia; Rodentia; Muridae. The transcript is spliced from 4 exons. The record is from RefSeq and is a predicted model, not a curated record.
CUCGUCAUUGUAAGCGUCUGCCACAGAGCUGGGUUUGUAUAAUUUCAGUUCUUUCUUUAUGCCAGAGGGCAAAUGAAGAAAAAAAAAAAAAAAAACCUUGGAGAACCAGGCAAUUCCCAGCCAAACUGAAUGAGAAAGUCGAGGCAAUUAUUGGAAAAUACAUGUGAAAACCUGUUAUCACUCAAAUUGAAAGGUGUUCAUGGGAACAUAACUGAUGAAGGCUGAACAAAGCAACCCUACUUAAUCAGUUCCCUGCUGCUUGGGCGGAUGACCUUUCUCCCAGGAAUGUCCUCUUCAAAGAGGUUUGUGGAACACAUGUUGUCCUUUAAGAACGACGAGUCUAUACAUCUGCUGCAGGUGAAUGGCUGCAGUUGUGCCACUUCUCUCUCUUUUCAUUACGCUUGGUAUGAGGAAUGAAGAUGUGAAGAUAUAGAAAGAUGACAAGACAGAGUUGCAGGACAUCCAGGGCUAUGCAGAGAAACCUUGCCUCAAAAACCAAAAAAGAAAAAAAGAAAGAAAGAAAGAAAUGUGAGUCCCAUCGGGAUCUGAAAUUUUGAUUGAGUAGGUGUUAAUUCCUCACCACACAACUUUCAACUAUGUUAAUUCUGUUUCUUUAGUGGAGAACUCAAUUGACAACUAGAGUCUAACAAUGUUAUCUCAAUGGAAGGUUUUCUUUUUUUUAAUGUUGUGUUACUGUUUUGUUUUUGCAUUUUAUUUUCAAUUCAUUUGAGCAUGAAAAAAAAUAAAAAGAAAUCUUUCUGGAAAAAAAAAGUAGAACUAUUCCAAAUUUUCUGAGAAACCUCCAAGUUGAUUUACAAAGUGGAUGUACAAGUUUAUACUCCCACCAAAAAAUGGAGGCAUGUUUCCCAUGAACCAUAAGAUGGAAUCUCAGAGUUUGUUUAAUUUGCAUUUCUUAGAUGACUAAAGAUGUUCAACAUUUCUUUAAGUGCUUCUUUUUUAAAAAAAAUAUUUUCUGUCUGAAGAGAGUCAUAGCGUGAGGAGCAUCAACAGGCACAGGCACCCAGUGAGGCAUGUGAGUAACUAGGGCAUACCUAAAUUUACUAGCAUUCCAGCAUUGGGCAAAAAAGCAAGUAUCAUUACCACAAUUACUUGGCUCUAUCUGGCUAAUAAUGAAUAAAAAUGGGGGAUAUAGACAAACAGGUGUGGGCUUAUAGGAAAUAUUAUGAGAAGCCUUAACCCCCUCGUUGGAACAUCUUGCAUCAGUUCUAGAACUAGCAGUGGUGGUGUCCAAGGUCUGAGUAGGUUCAGGAGACCAUUGCCCCAGGGGCGAGACGUGUUCCAUGCCAAUUGACUAACUCCAUGUUUUCCUCCACUUUUGAAAGUCAAAAGGGAUCUUGGAACUACAGCCACCAUUGUUACUACCAUCUCAUUGGCGGCUGUUGGAGCUACCACCGGGGCAUUAGCCAUGAGUUAUACUGGGCAGACUGCUCAGACCCUGAACAAUCAUUUAGCCAAUGUAGCUCAUGCCUUAGUUUUACAUAAAGGAAUUAAUGCUCAACUAAAAGGAAGCUUGAUGGUGUUCAAUCAGAGGAGUGACCUCGU